AAAUCCAUCAACUAUUUAUCAACUACUUAAAAACUCUUUAACUGUUUAAAAUUUUUAAUACUUAUAAACUCACAUUAAUUUAUAAGUACCAGGUGCUUAUAAAUUUAUUUUUCAUAAAUUAAGUCAAACACCAUAUAUUGAUCGUUAAAUAUUAGCAAGCAAUUGCCACCAUUUGAAUAGUAAAAAAAUUAACUAAAAAUCUCAGCUACAGUUGAUUCUCGAUGUCAAUUGAGCAUUUAGUUAUAAUUUAAACCUUUUUCACAACUAAUGUUGAAAAGCUGCUUCAAACUAAACUUACCAAAUCUCUCAUAUUAGCAGCUAAGGUUAUCUUUUCUAGAUUGUAUAUCAACCAUAUUCAACCAAAUCAAACGUAGCUGAUUUCACUAGUUCGAUUUUAAUUGAUUAAAAUUUGAAUCAAAAUUGACUAGUGCACGCUCUUAGUCAGGCUAUAUUUUUUUAUAUAUAAAAUAAAAACCUAAGUGAUUAAAACAGGAAAAGAAAGAACCAGGGACGGAACUAAAU
RNAcentral lists this unclassified non-coding RNA (522 nucleotides) under Hevea brasiliensis (rubber tree). Lineage: Eukaryota; Viridiplantae; Streptophyta; Magnoliopsida; Malpighiales; Euphorbiaceae. The record is from RNAcentral.